Long non-coding RNA from Oncorhynchus tshawytscha (Chinook salmon), 2761 nucleotides. Lineage: Eukaryota; Metazoa; Chordata; Actinopteri; Salmoniformes; Salmonidae. The record is from Ensembl.
CACAGGGUUCAAUUCUUGGACCGACUCUCUUCUCUGUAUACAUCAAUGAUGUCGCUGCUGGUGAGUCUCUGAUCCACCUCUACGCAGACGACACCAUUCUGUAUACUUCUGGCCCUUCUUUGGACACUGUGUUAACAACCCUCCAGGCAAGCUUCAAUGCCAUACAACUCACCUUCCGUGGCCUCCAAUUGCUCUUAUAUACAAGUAAAACUAAAUGCAUGCUCUUCAACCGAUCGCUGCCUGCACCUGCCCGCCUGUCCAACAUCACUACUCUGGACGGCUCUGACUUAGAAUACGUGGACAACUACAAAUACCUAGGUGUCUGGUUUGACUGUAAACUCUCCUUCCAGACCCACAUCAAACAUCUCCAAUCCAAAGUUAAAUCUAGAAUUGGCUUCCUAUUUCGCAACAAAGCAUCCUUCACUCAUGCUGCCAAACAUACCCUUGUAAAACUGACCAUCCUACCAAUCCUCGACUUCGGCGAUGUCAUUUACAAAAUAGCCUCCAAUACCCUACUGAACAAAUUGGAUGCAGUCUAUCACAGUGCAAUCCGUUUUGUCACCAAAGCCCCAUAUACUACCCACCAUUGCGACCUGUACGCUCUCGUUGGCUGGCCAUCGCUUCAUACUCAUCGCCAAACCCACUGGCUCCAUGUCAUCUACAAGACCCUGCUAGGUAAUACCCCCCUUAUCUCAGCUCGCUGGUCACCAUAGCAUCACCCACCUGUAGCACGCGCUCCAGCAGGUAUAUCUCUCUGGUCACCCCCCAAAACCAAUUUCUUUGGCCGCCUCUCCUUCCAGUUCUCUGCUGCCAAUGACUGGAAUGAACUACAAAAAUAUCUGAAACUGAAAACACUUAUCUCCCUCACUAGCUUUCAGCACCAACUGUCAGAGCAGCUCACAGAUUACUGCACCUGUACAUAGCCCACCUAUAAUUUAGCCCAAACAACUACCUCUUUCCCUACUGUAUUUAUUUUAUUUAUUUAUUUAUUUUGCUCCUUUGCACCCCAUUAUUUCUAUUUCUAAUUUGCACAUUCUUCCACUGCAAAUCUACCAUUGUAGAUUGUACCAGUGUUUUACUUUCUAUAUUGUAUUUACUUUGCCACCAUGGCCUUUUUUGCCUUUACCUCCCUUAUCUCACCUCAUUUGCUCACAUUGUAUAUAGACUUGUUUCUACUGUAUUAUUGACUGUAUGUUUGUUUUACUCCAUGUGUAACUCUGUGUCGUUGUAUCUGUCGAACUGCUUUGUUUUAUCUUGUCCAGGUCGCAAUUGUAAAUGAGAACUUGUUCUCAACUUGCCUUACCUGGUUAAAUAAAGGUGAAAUAAAUAAAUAAAAUAAAUACAUCCGCAGGUACAUCUCCAAUUGACUCAGCCUAUCAGAAACUUCUAAAGCCAUGACAUCAUUUUCUGGAAUUUUCCAAGCUAUUUGAAGGCACAGUGAACUUUGUGUAUGUAAUCUUCUGACCCACUGGAAUUGUGAUACAGUGAAUUAGGAGUGAAAUAAUCUGUCUGUAAACAAUUGUUGGAAAAAUUACUUGUGUCAUGCACAAAGUAGAUGUCCAAACCGACUUUCCAAAACUAUAGUUUGUUAACAAGACAUUUGUGGAGUGGUUGAAAAACAAGUUUUAAUGACUCCAACCUCAGUGUAUGUAAACUUCCGACUUCCCCAACUGUAUAUAGGGAAGAUAAUCAGGGAAGUGAUGGAGUCCAGGUGAGUCUGAUGACGCGGAGGUACAAGUAACGAUGGUAACAGGUGUGUGCUAUAACAAGCUGCCUGGUGACCUAGAGGCCGAGAGGGAGCACAUGUGACACUGUCUUUAUAUCUCCCCCUCUGUCUCUCCCUCUCCUUAUAUCUCUCUCCCUCUCUUUAUAUAUCUCUCCCUCUCUUUAUCUCUCUCAUUCUCUUUAUAUCUCCCUGUCUUUAUCUCUCUCUCCUUAUAUCUCUCUCCCUCUCUUUAGAUCUCCCUCUUUAUAUCUCACUGUCUUUAUCUCUCUCUCUGUAUCUCUCUCUCCUUCUCUUUAUCUCUCUCCCUCUUUUUAUCUCUCUCCCUCUCUUUAGAUCUCCCUCUUUAUAUCUCACUGUCUUUAUCUCUCUCUCUGUAUCUCUCUCUCCUUCUCUUUAUCUCUCUCCCUCUCUUCAUCUCUCUCCCUCUCUUCAUAUCUCUCUCCCUCUCUUUAUAUCUCCCUCCCUCUCUUUGUAUCUCUCUCCCUCCCUUUAUAUCUCUCUCUCUCUCUUUAUAUCCCCCUCUCUUUAUAUCUCACUCCCUCUCUUUAUAUCUCCCUCCCUCUCUUUGUAUCUCUCUCCCUCCCUUUAUAUCUCACUCCCUCUCUUCAUAUCUCUCUCCCUCUCUUUACAUCUCCCUCUCUUUAUAUCUCUCUCCCUCUCUUUAUAUCUCCCUCCCUCUCUUUGUAUCUCUCUCCCUCCCUUUAUAUCUCUCAUCCUCUCUUCAUAUCUCUCUCCCUCUCUUUACAUCUCCCUCUCUUUACAUCUCUCGCCCUCUCUUUAUAUCUCCCUCUCUUUAUCUCUCUCUCCCUCUCUUUAUAUCUCCCUCUCUUUAUCUCUGUCUCCCUCUCUUUAUAUCUCUCUCCCUCUCUUUAUAUCUCCCUCUCUUUAUAUCUCUCUCCCUCUCUUUAUCUCUCUCUCCCUCUCUUUAUAUCUCCCUCUCUUUAUAUCUCUCUCCCUCUCUUUAUAUCUCCCUCUCUUCAUCUCUCUCCCUCCCUUUAUAUCUCCCUCCCUCUCUUUAUAUCUCUAUCCCUCUCU